RNAcentral lists this transfer RNA (84 nucleotides) under archaeon. Its description in RNAcentral is "tRNA-Leu". It matches the Rfam family "tRNA". Rfam says of the family: Transfer RNA (tRNA) molecules are approximately 80 nucleotides in length. Their secondary structure includes four short double-helical elements and three loops (D, anti-codon, and T loops). Further hydrogen bonds mediate the characteristic L-shaped molecular structure. tRNAs have two regions of fundamental functional importance: the anti-codon, which is responsible for specific mRNA codon recognition, and the 3' end, to which the tRNAs corresponding amino acid is attached (by aminoacyl-tRNA synthetases). tRNAs cope with the degeneracy of the genetic code in two manners: having more than one tRNA (with a specific anti-codon) for a particular amino acid; and 'wobble' base-pairing, i.e. permitting non-standard base-pairing at the 3rd anti-codon position. The record is from RNAcentral.
GCGGGAGUGCCGGAGCGGUCAAACGGAGCAGCCUCAAGAGCUGUUGGCUUAGUGCCUGCGAAGGUUCGAUUCCUUUCUCCCGCA